This 441-nucleotide ribosomal RNA is filed under the name uncultured bacterium. RNAcentral's name for it is "bacterial SSU rRNA". It matches the Rfam family "Bacterial small subunit ribosomal RNA", at positions 29 to 507 of the family's 1533-position model. The record is from RNAcentral.
AGCGAACGCUGGCGGCAUGCUUAACACAUGCAAGUCGCACGGGCAGUAGCAAGUACUGUCAGUGGCGGACGGGUGAGUAACGCGUAGGAAUCUAUACCUUGGAAAUGGGGGACAACCGUGGGAAACUACGGCUAAUACCGCAUGAUGCCUGAGGCCAAAGACGAAAGUCGUUGAGGAGGAGCCUGCGUCUGAUUAGGUAGUUGGUGGGGUAAAGGCCUACCAAGCCUACGAUCAGUAGCUGGUCUGAGAGGAUGAUCAGCCACAUUGGGACUGAGACACGGCCCAAACUCCUACGGGAGGCAGCAGUGGGGAAUAUUGGACAAUGGGCGCAAGCCUGAUCCAGCAAUGCCGCGUGGGUGAAGAAGGUCUUCGGAUUGUAAAGCCCUUUUGGCGGGGACGAUGAUGACGGUACCCGCAGAAUAAGCUCCGGCUAACUUCGUG